GACGAACGCUGGCGGCGUGCCUAAUACAUGCAAGUUGAGCGCUGAAGGUUGGUACUUGUACCAACUGGAUGAGCAGCGAACGGGUGAGUAACGCGUGGGGAAUCUGCCUUUGAGCGGGGGACAACAUUUGGAGACGAAUGCUAAUACCGCAUAAAAACUUUAAACACAAGUUUUAAGUUUGAAAGAUGCAAUUGCAUCACUCAAAGAUGAUCCCGCGUUGUAUUAGCUAGUUGGUGAGGUAAAGGCUCACCAAGGCGAUGAUACAUAGCCGACCUGAGAGGGUGAUCGGCCACAUUGGGACUGGGAAACGGCCCAAACUCCUACGGGAGGCAGCAGUAGGGAAUCUUCGGCAAUGGACGAAAGUCUGACCGAGCAACGCCGCGUGAGUGAAGAAGGUUUUCGGAUCGUAAAACUCUGUUGGUAGAGAAGAACGUUGGUGAGAGUGGAAAGCUCAUCAAGUGACGGUAACUACCCAGAAAGGGACGGCUAACUACGUG
RNAcentral lists this ribosomal RNA (497 nucleotides) under uncultured bacterium. RNAcentral's name for it is "partial 16S ribosomal RNA". It matches the Rfam family "Bacterial small subunit ribosomal RNA", at positions 28 to 507 of the family's 1533-position model. The record is from RNAcentral.